Molecule: ribosomal RNA, 496 nt
Filed under: uncultured bacterium
Lineage: Bacteria
Description: partial 16S ribosomal RNA
Rfam family: Bacterial small subunit ribosomal RNA
Source: RNAcentral
GAUGAACGCUGGCGGCGUGCCUAAUACAUGCAAGUCGAGCGAACAGAUGAGGAGCUUGCUCCUCUGACGUUAGCGGCGGACGGGUGAGUAACACGUGGAUAACCUACCUAUAAGACUGGGAUAACUUCGGGAAACCGGAGCUAAUACCGGAUAAUAUAUUGAACCGCAUGGUUCAAUAGUGAAAGACGGUUUUGCUGUCACUUAUAGAUGGAUCCGCGCCGCAUUAGCUAGUUGGUAAGGUAACGGCUUACCAAGGCAACGAUGCGUAGCCGACCUGAGAGGGUGAUCGGCCACACUGGAACUGAGACACGGUCCAGACUCCUACGGGAGGCAGCAGUAGGGAAUCUUCCGCAAUGGGCGAAAGCCUGACGGAGCAACGCCGCGUGAGUGAUGAAGGUCUUCGGAUCGUAAAACUCUGUUAUUAGGGAAGAACAAAUGUGUAAGUAACGAUGCACGCCUUGACGGUACCGAAUCAGAAAGCCACGGUUAACUACGU